Molecule: ribosomal RNA, 429 nt
Filed under: bacterium
Lineage: Bacteria
Description: partial 16S ribosomal RNA
Rfam family: Bacterial small subunit ribosomal RNA
Source: RNAcentral
UAGGGAAUCUUCGGCAAUGGGGGCAACCCUGACCGAGCAACGCCGCGUGAGUGAAGAAGGUUUUCGGAUCGUAAAGCUCUGUUGUAAGAGAAGAACGUGUGUGAGAGUGGAAAGUUCACACAGUGACGGUAACUUACCAGAAAGGGACGGCUAACUACGUGCCAGCAGCCGCGGUAAUACGUAGGUCCCGAGCGUUGUUCGGAUUUAUUGGGCGUAAAGCGAGCGCAGGCGGUUUAAUAAGUCUGAAGUUAAAGGCAGUGGCUUAACCAUUGUUCGCUUUGGAAACUGUUAAACUUGAGUGCAGAAGGGGAGAGUGGAAUUCCAUGUGUAGCGGUGAAAUGCGUAGAUAUAUGGAGGAACACCGGUGGCGAAAGCGGCUCUCUGGUCUGUAACUGACGCUGAGGCUCGAAAGCGUGGGGAGCAAACAGG